AAGCCCGCUCGCCGGAAGACCAAGGGUUCCUGUCCAACGUUAAUCGGGGCAGGGUGAGUCGACCCCUAAGGCGAGGCCGAAAGGCGUAGUCGAUGGGAAACAGGUUAAUAUUCCUGUACUUGGUGUUACUGCGAAGGGGGGACGGAGAAGGCUAUGUUGGCCGGGCGACGGUUGUCCCGGUUUAAGCGUGUAGGCUGGUUUUCCAGGCAAAUCCGGAAAAUCAAGGCUGAGGCGUGAUGACGAGGCACUACGGUGCUGAAGCAACAAAUGCCCUGCUUCCAGGAAAAGCCUCUAAGCAUCAGGUAACAUCAAAUCGUACCCCAAACCGACACAGGUGGUCAGGUAGAGAAUACCAAGGCGCUUGAGAGAACUCGGGUGAAGGAACUAGGCAAAAUGGUGCCGUAACUUCGGGAGAAGGCACGCUGAUAUGUAGGUGAAGCGACUUGCUCGUGGAGCUGAAAUCAGUCGAAGAUACCAGCUGGCUGCAACUGUUUAUUAAAAACACAGCACUGUGCAAACACGAAAGUGGACGUAUACGGUGUGACGCCUGCCCGGUGCCGGAAGGUUAAUUGAUGGGGUUAGCGCAAGCGAAGCUCUUGAUCGAAGCCCCGGUAAACGGCGGCCGUAACUAUAACGGUCCUAAGGUAGCGAAAUUCCUUGUCGGGUAAGUUCCGACCUGCACGAAUGGCGUAAUGAUGGCCAGGCUGUCUCCACCCGAGACUCAGUGAAAUUGAACUCGCUGUGAAGAUGCAGUGUACCCGCGGCAAGACGGAAAGACCCCGUGAACCUUUACUAUAGCUUGACACUGAACAUUGAGCCUUGAUGUGUAGGAUAGGUGGGAGGCUUUGAAGUGUGGACGCCAGUCUGCAUGGAGCCGACCUUGAAAUACCACCCUUUAAUGUUUGAUGUUCUAACGUUGACCCGUAAUCCGGGUUGCGGACAGUGUCUGGUGGGUAGUUUGACUGGGGCGGUCUCCUCCUAAAGAGUAACGGAGGAGCACGAAGGUUGGCUAAUCCUGGUCGGACAUCAGGAGGUUAGUGCAAUGGCAUAAGCCAGCUUGACUGCGAGCGUGACGGCGCGAGCAGGUGCGAAAGCAGGUCAUAGUGAUCCGGUGGUUCUGAAUGGAAGGGCCAUCGCUCAACGGAUAAAAGGUACUCCGGGGAUAACAGGCUGAUACCGCCCAAGAGUUCAUAUCGACGGCGGUGUUUGGCACCUCGAUGUCGGCUCAUCACAUCCUGGGGCUGAAGUAGGUCCCAAGGGUAUGGCUGUUCGCCAUUUAAAGUGGUACGCGAGCUGGGUUUAGAACGUCGUGAGACAGUUCGGUCCCUAUCUGCCGUGGGCGCUGGAGAACUGAGGGGGGCUGCUCCUAGUACGAGAGGACCGGAGUGGACGCAUCACUGGUGUUCGGGUUGUCAUGCCAAUGGCACUGCCCGGUAGCUAAAUGCGGAAGAGAUAAGUGCUGAAAGCAUCUAAGCACGAAACUUGCCCCGAGAUGAGUUCUCCCUGACUCCUUGAGAGUCCUGAAGGAACGUUGAAGACGACGACGUUGAUAGGCCGGGUGUGUAAGCGCAGCGAUGCGUUGAGCUAACCGGUACUAAUGAACCGUGAGGCUUAACCUU
This 1619-nucleotide ribosomal RNA is filed under the name Escherichia coli. RNAcentral describes it as "bacterial LSU rRNA". It matches the Rfam family "Bacterial large subunit ribosomal RNA", at positions 1326 to 2925 of the family's 2925-position model. Lineage: Bacteria; Pseudomonadati; Pseudomonadota; Gammaproteobacteria; Enterobacterales; Enterobacteriaceae. The record is from RNAcentral.